Molecule: ribosomal RNA, 380 nt
Filed under: uncultured archaeon
Lineage: Archaea
Description: bacterial SSU rRNA
Rfam family: Archaeal small subunit ribosomal RNA
Source: RNAcentral
UAAUACCGGCAGCCCAAGUGGUGAUCCCUUUUAUUGAGCCUAAAACGUCCGUAGCCGGCCCGGCAAAUCUCUGGGUAAAUCGGGCAGCUUAACUGUUCGAAUUCUGGAGAGACUACCGGGCUUGGGACCGGGAGAGGCCAGAGGUACGUCGGGGGUAGGGGUAAAAUCCUUUAAUCCUCGACGGACCACCGGUGGCGAAGGCGUCUGGCUAGAACGGAUCCGACAGUAAGGGACGAAGGCUAGGGGCGCAAACCGGAUUAGAUACCCGGGUAGUCCUAGCUGUAAACGCUGCAGGCUUGGUGUUGAGACUCCUUCGGGGGGUCUCAGUGCCGUAGCGAAGGUGUUAAGCCUGCUGCUUGGGGAGUACGGCCGCAAGGCUG